AACCACAGCCAUAUCACCCUGCAGCCCAAGAGCGGUUACUCACUGAAGCUAAGCAGGGCUGAGCCUGGUCAAUACCUGGAUGGGAGACCACUAGGGAACACUGUUGGAAGUGGUGU
This is a non-coding RNA of Danio rerio (zebrafish), 116 nucleotides long. The record is from Rfam. NCBI's taxonomy places the organism in Eukaryota, Metazoa, Chordata, Actinopteri, Cypriniformes, Danionidae.